This 23298-nucleotide long non-coding RNA is filed under the name Nicotiana benthamiana. RNAcentral's name for it is "long non-coding RNA (NBEN_LNC020481)". The record is from RNAcentral. Lineage: Eukaryota; Viridiplantae; Streptophyta; Magnoliopsida; Solanales; Solanaceae.
GCCAUGAUUGCCUUCCCCUUUAUAAUUAAUAUGUCUGAACAAGGUUAAUCUCAACCUCGUCCAAACAGAGCAUGUUCAUCUCUCUCUCUCUCUUCUCUCUUUCAACAAAGAGCCCUGAGCCCUAAUCUACCAUUUUCACAGGCGGUUGACCUCCAAAGCACCCUCAAAUAUCACCCCACACCCCCCUUACACCCUAAGUCCUACUUCUAUAUCAACUUUCCCGAAAUCCCUACCAAAUACGGUCAUCUUUAGAUCUAAAGAGAGAGAAGAAAAAAAGAGUAUAUCUCAACCUUUCAAGAACGAUUAGGACUAAAACUAGUAUUGUAUAUUUAUCCUCAAGAAGGACAUGCAGAUAACACUGAUUUUGGUUCAAGAUGGAGAUUGCCGGUGGUCUAUCCCAAGCUUGGUCGUUCUAUUAGGUAUCUUUAUGUAUUUUCAUUGUUUUCACCGUUUGUUUUAUUUACCUCUUUGUCUAUUUUUGAUUCCUCUCUUUUCUUUCUAUUUUAUAUUUCAUUUUCAAACCAUUUUCUUGCUCAUAUGUUAGGAUUGGGUCAUAGUACUACCUUUGUUAUUAGGUUGUUCGUUGUCAUAGUUUGACUUUGUUUAAUUUUAGUUUCGUUGAUUUCGUAAUAGUAGGAGUUUAUAACUCCGCUAGCCUGUUUGAUUUUGUGUUUGGAUGUUUCAAAUUAGGGUUUGGAUUCCGCAGGUCAAGAGCCCAUAAAGAGUAAGGCUCAAAUCUGACUUUCCAACACACAGGUUAGGUGUAGGAUUUGGAUUGAAUUUGACCCGUAAUAUGAAGCGUAAAUAACCUAAAAAUUAAGGGUAAUUAAGGAUUUCUAAGAUAGGGAAUCUUUUGGUAACAGAAAUAGAAGCUUCAUAGAAGCUGACUGGGGGGGACUAACCUGAAUUUAGAGUCUUGACCUAAGGUUCUUGAAGCAAAAAUGAUAAUUGGGCAGGGAUUGAAAAGAAAAUUCCGAAACCUCUUUUGAUGCCCUACCUCUCCCUCUAUAAAUUCUCACUUCCAAAAAGGAUUUAGGGGAUCAGAUGUUAGAAAAUAAAAAACGGCUGAACUUAAAAAGGACAGUUCCAUUGCUUCUUUGUUUUGAAUUCAGAAGUUCUCCAUUGCUAAAGUAGUUUCUGAUUUUCUUUGAGUUGAAAAUGGAUUGAACUCGGUAAUAGAAAAUAUGGUUUAAAUUUGUUGAUGGGAUCACUGUUCUAUUGAUUUUUAUGAGGAAAGUUUAUUGUUUCAUUGGCUAAAAUAAGCUAGUGUUUGGUUUGGUCUAUUCCUCCUGGGUGUGGAUUACUGGGUUGUCUGUUGCUUACUGCUUCCUCACCUCUUUCUUCUCUUUUCAAUCUCCAGGUACAUUUCUGCAUUCAACCUCAUGUGAAGAUUGAUUUGAGGAAUAAAAUAGAAAUUCGAAAGUUCAAACAUGUUUUCAACUUUCUGUUAUGAGUUGAGCCUUAUUACUUUGUAUUUAUGGUGUUUUAUAGCUUAGCUCAUUAUUUCUUUAUAGUUAAUUUUUAAUCUGGGCCAAUAGUUUGUUGAUUCUAGCCUCUAUUUGGCCUCAUUUCUCUUAAAUUUGAGAUCUAUGUGGCUAAGUAGGUGCUCUACGUAUUUGUUUGGCUAUGAAAGUGUAGUUGGUGUGCAGUCUUCAGUUUUCUUUUUUUCUGAGUGUUCUUUUAAAACUAUAAUUGAUGUUUAGUUAUUUGUUGCUAUCAUGUAGAUCUAUUAGUAUAUUAACCUUAAGUUAUGAAUUAAAUGUCAGCAUGGAAUUUAAGGUUCAUGAGGUUUUGAGUAGUCCUUUUGUUUCCUUACUUGAGUUUGGCCCUCAUGAAGUGGGAAUGCAACUGUUUGAGUAGUCUGAUCUUUUUUUAAUUCUAUAAUACAUGGCCAAGAUGAAACAUAUUGGUAAAAUCAAGUUAAAUAAGAGCAGCAUUCUUUUCUUGAAAUUUGUUCAAGCACGCUAAUGUCGGGUUUGACUCUUGAAGAUUUGGUUUGUAAGAAUGCAUCAUCUUGAGUCAGGUGUGGAGUCUUUUAGAAAAACACAUGAAUUUGAGAGUUAAUAUGGUAAAGAUGAGUAAUGAAUAAGGUUUCUCGUAAAUACGAUUAGUUUCCGGCAUUGAUUAAUUCAGGCUCUAAAUUGUGUGUUUAUUUUGAGUUAUGAUUCACCUUGGUAUAAGAAACUAUUUUGUUGAAGGUUGUCUUUAACUCAGCAGUGGUCGUGCCUGUGUGGAUUCGAUUCGCAACCCUAGCAUAGGUUGAUUUCAUUGAGGCCUGGAUUUUCUUUAUGGGACUAGAUCUGAAGCGAUGUACAAAACAUAGAAUGUCAUAUUUUUGGGCCUGUUGAUUUUUGUUACUUAAAUUAACUUAAAAUUUUCCUAAUAAAAAAAUGGUUACGAUUUCAUUAGGCCUUAGUUAAUGGGUAAUCCCUUUUAGUUAGUUUGAGGUGAGAUAUUAAUUAAGUCACAAUUUAUGGCCCUCAUGAAUUAAUCUAGAAACUUGUUUAGAAUAAUUCGAGGUGCACCAUGCCAAAUACACAACUGACAAUUGCAUGGCCCUCGUUUGAUUAAUCUUGUUUAUCCUUAGAAAUCAAGGUGUGCCAUUUAGCGAAUUUUUAUGGCCCUCGCAAAGUUACUAAUGCGUAGUUGCUUUAGUCAUGUUAUUUAGUAAUUUACCUUCCUAAACUCGGGUGCACAUUUAUGUGACCCAAAUCCAAAUAUCAACAAUUUUAGAUGUAUACCACGAGUGCAUUUAUGUGCCGUGGUUCAAGAAAUAUUUUAAAUAACGUUGCAAUCUUUCUUAAAAUAAUUAAAAGCGGAUAUAAAGUUUAAAAUUGAAUCAUAGGAUAAAACAUGUAUUAAAAUCAUAUAAUAGGCCAAUUAUAACAGUUGAGCGACCGUACUAGAACCACGGAAUUCGGGAAUGCCUAACACCUUCUCUCGGGUUUACAAAAUUCCAUACCCGGAUUUCUGUGUUCGCAGACUAUAAUAUAGAGUCAAUCUUUUCCUCAAUUCGGCGUUUGAACCGGUGACUUGGGACACCAUAAAUUAUCCCAAGUGGUGACUCUGAAUUUUAAAUAAAAAUAAUCUUGUCUCUAUUGUUACUUAAAUGGAAAAAUUCAUGUAUAUCCUUCUGGAUGUAGGAAAAAAGAGGGGUGAGACACACGGUUUGUGCAAGUAAGGAAAGGAAAUCAGCCAAGAAAUCAAAACUACAGGCUUUGUACGAAUGAACCAAGUCAUGAAAAGUGAGGAAAAGUUUAACUUAAGGAAAAUCAGUAACAAUCAAUCAAACCCAAAAAGAAAGAUUCAGAAUCAAUAAUAAGUUGGAAAUCCUUUUAAAGAAAGGUUCAACACACAUAUAAAAGCGUAUAGAAAUGUUAAAACAAGAAAGAACUGUCAUUCCAAUUAGAAGAGUCUAGCAUAGAAGAGUUUAGAGUCAUAAACAAAGAGGUUCAAAUCAAGUUUAUAGACUCAAAAUGAGUCUGAGAGAGUCAAGGGUUCCAAAGUAGAACCCCGGUUCAAAUACAAAAUCAACCUCAUUUCCCAAAUUCUAGGAUUUCUAAGUCGAAUUAGAUACAGAGACGAGGAGCCAAGUAAUUGAAACAGGCUCAGAGAUCUCUUUCAAAGACUUAUGAGAACACAAAAAGAUACAAUAGCAAAUUCGAAGAAAAUAGAGUGAAGAAACUGAUUUGAAGCAUAGUGAGAGCAGAAGGAACACGUUUUAAGAAAAACGUGGAACUUAAACAAGUUCAGAAGAGAAAAAGAGGCAGUUUAACACUUGAUAAAACAGUAGAGGAAAUAUGUUUAAAAAGAACUUAGUAGGAAAUACAUACAGGAACACGGAGAUGUAGGAAAAGUCUAGCAAAAGAACACACAAGGAAAUAUGGCAAGAUAAACAUGUGAGAGCACGAUAUAGAAAUAUAGUAGAAGAAAGAAUGGAGCACGGUAGAAGAACAUGCAAACAUAAAAACACAGUAGAAGAUCAUGCAAGGUAGAAAAUAAAACAUAAGAAUAUAGCAUAGACAGAUACUCAUAAAGAAAAGAAGAAGUGUUAUAGAAACAUCUUGAAACUUUCGAAAACCCUAAAUCGAAGAGAAGUAAUUUUUGAAAGAAAAAUUAGGGAAAGUGUUUUAAAACUCCAGUAGAGCAAAGAUAUACAAUAGAUAUAAGAAAACAAUCAGAGAAAAUCUCGACUAGCUAGGGUUUCAUAGGAACCUUGAAUGAGAAAGUCUUGGAAAAAGGUCUGAUCUUCAGUCGGAUGAGUCAGAACCAGGCUCGAAACGCUUUGAAUACGCCGGAGUGAGGCCGUAGAGGACAUGGAACCUUGAAUCGAAGAAAAUUUGAAUGGACAACAUUGAAUUUAAACCUCAAAACUUCGAGCACCAAGCGUUUAAGGGUGGAGGGAGGUGAGUAUCGGCCAUCCAUGGCCUGAGAAGCCGUGGAUUCCGGUGAGAUGAUGGUUGAAAGUGGUAGAAGUGGAUUAGGGUUACGAAGAAUCUUCGAGAGAGUCUAAGAGAGAGAGUGUAUUCAAAGGCAGCUGAUAGAAUAAAAUGAUGGGAUUAGAGUAGGGUUGUUGAAAUAAAAAAGGUAAUAAGUGAUCAUGGUUGUUGAUCAAAAUGAUUACCGGCCUGUAUUAAAUAAAAGGAUGGGCGAAUUGGAUAAAUGGGUUAGGGGUUGGGUUGAAUAAAAAUUGGGCUGGUCUGGAGUUGGGAUUGAAAUUGGGUCAAUUAGGGGGAUCAAAUUUGGCUAAAAUUGAAAUGAAAUGGGUCAAAUAUUAAAUAGCCAGUUUUUUCCUUUUUAUUUUAUAAAAAUAGUAAAAAUGUCCUUGAAAACAAAUUAAAGGUACUGAGUCACUUAAGAAAAUAUAAAUAAUAAUUUUCAAAUAUUUGAACUGAUUUCCUAAUUAUAAAAUGUAUUUAAUUCUCAAAAUAGGCUAAAAUUACAAUUAUAUGCACUUUAGCUUUUAGAAUACCAAAUAAAUUUGUAAAAAUGUGUAAGAAUUAUAUUAGCUAUAUUUUGGCAUAAUUAUAGGAAUAAAAUAAAUUAUUCACAAAAAAUAAUAAUUUUGGGACUGAUUAUUGAUUUUUAUACUGCAAAAAUAGAUAAUAAAUUAAUCUAAAAAAUCUUUUAAAAAUUGAAAAAAACUACUAAAACACGUAGACAUACUUAUAUAUGCAUAUAUAUAGUAUUUGAAAGUAUUUUUCAUAUAAAAAAUAGACGAAAAAAAAUUGGGUAUCGAUAAUAUUUCCAUCUUUAAAACAACUGUUCGUCUUCGAAUGGACAUAGAAAAGUACCUGAGUCGGUGAAAAGAAGGGGAUAUCGGCUCUGCUUGUCGGACUCGGACUCCCAGGUAGCUACCUCAAUAGGUUGUCCUCUCCACUGAACAUGAACCGAUGGAUAGCUCUUUGAUCUGAAUUAUCAAACUUGCCGCUCUAGAAUAGCUACCAGCUCAUUCUCGUUGGUUAAAUCCCAGUCCAACUGGACAGUGCUGAAGUUUAACACCUGGGAUGGAUCGUCGUGAUACUUCCAAAAUAUGGACACAUGAAUCACUAGAUGCACAAUUGAUAAACCAUGUGGUAAUGCAAGUUUGUAAGGCACAUCUCCCACUUGAUCAAGGAAUCAAAAGGUCCGAUAAACCUAGAGCUUAACUUUCCUUUCUUUCUAAUCUCCUCACACCCUUCAUGGGAGACACCCGAAGCAAUACUUUCUCCCCGACUAUGAAUACCACAUCACAAUCCUAACGAUCGGCAUAACUCUUUCGCCUGGACUGAGGUGUACAAAGCCUAUCUUGAAUGAUCUUAACUUUAUCCAAUGCAUCUUGUACUAAAUCUGUACCCAAUAAUUGAGCCUCCCCUAGCUAAAACCACCCAAUUGAAAAUCGACACCAUCUACCAUAUAAGGACUCAUAAGGAGCCAUCCGGAUGCUCGGCUGAUAGUAGUUAUUGUAGGAAAACUCUGCCUAACGGCAAGAACUGAUACCAAGAACCUCCAAAGUCAACACAUCGAAGCAUAUCCUCCAAAAUCUGAAUAGUACGUUUGUCAAAAAUGUGAAGUAAACUGUGUACCUCGGUCAGAAAUAAUAGACACGGGCACACCAUGAAGACAAACAAUCUCCUAGAUAUAGAUCUCAACUAACCUCUCUGAAAAAUAGGAGACUGCCAAACGAAUGAAAUACGCUGAUUUAGUCAGCCUAUCAACAAUAACACAUACCGCAUCAAACUUCGUUUGAGUCUUUGGGAGUCUAAAAACGAAGUCUAUAGUGAUACGCUCCUACUUUCACUCAGGAAUCUCAAUCUUCUCAAGCGAACUACUAGGUCUGUGAUGCUCGUACAUUACCUGCUGGCAAUUCAAAAAUUUAGCUACAUAUGCAACAAUAUCCUUCUUCAUCCUCCUCCACCAAUAAUGUUGCCACAAGUCCUAAUACAUCUUAGCAGCGCUCGGAUGAAUAGAAUACCGGAAACUAUGGACCUUUUCUAGAAUCAACUCACAAAGUCCAUCCACAUUAGGCACACAAACUCAACCUUGCAUCCAUAAAACUCUAUCAUCUCCAACUAUAACCUUAUUGGCACCACCGUGCCGCAUUGUGUCCCAAAGGACAAGCAAAUGAGGAUCAUCAUACUGCUGAUCUUAUAUAUGCUCAAUAAUAAAGACCGAGCGACUGUGCAAGCUAAAACACGACUGGGCUCAUAAAUAUCCAACCUUACGAAUUGAUUGUCUAAAGCCUAACAUCCAAAGCAAUCAAUGUCUCAUCGACCAGAAUAUACACUAGACUGCCCAUGCUGGCUGACUUCCUACUCAGAGCACCGACUGCCACAUUGGCCUUCCCCAGAUGAUACAAGAUGGUGAAAUCUUAGUCUUUCAAUAGUUUUAACCACCUUCUCUGCUUCAAAUUUUUCUCCUUCUACUUGAACAAAUACUGUAGACUUUUGUGAUCCGUGAAUACCUCACAUGAAAUGCCAUAUAAAUAAUGCCUCCAAAUCUUCAGCGCAUGAACAAUGUAUACUAGCUCCAAAUCAUGAACUUGAUAAUUCUUCACGUAGAUCUUCAACUAUCGCGAAGCAUAUGCAAUAACCUUGCCGUUUUGCAUCAACGUUGCACCAAGUCCAAUACGAGAUGCGUCACAAUAUAUGGUAUAUGGCCUUAAACCUAUAGGCAAAAUAGUUUUGUGGUCAAAGCUAUCUUGAGCUUCUGAAAGCUCGACUCACACUCAUCCGACCAACUACCAUGGGCACCCUUUUGGGUCAAAUUGAUCAUCGGGGCUGCUAUAGAUGAAAACCCAUCCAUAAACCGAAGGUAAUAACCUGCGAAACCUAAGAAACUCCAGAUCUCUGUAGCGGAUGCAAGUCUAGGCUAGUCCUUGGCUGUCUCUAUCUUCUUUAGGUCCACCUGAAUACCCUCUACUGAUACAAUGUGACAUAAGAAGUCAACUGAACUCAACCAAAACUAACAUUUCAAAAACAUAGCAUAGAACUAACUAUCUCUCAGUGUCUGGAGAACGAUUCGAAAAUGCUACUCGUGCUGCUCUUGGCUGCGGGGUUAGAUUAAAAUAUCAUCAAUGAAGAUGAUCAAGAAGGAAUUCAAAUAAGGCUUGAAUAUCUGGUUCAUCAACUCCAUAAAUGUUGUUGGGGCAUUUGUCAACCCAAAUAACAUCACCAAUAACUUAUAAUGCCUGGACCGAGACUGAAAAGAUGUCUUAGGGCAUCGGACGAGCUAAUACUCAACUGAUGGUGGCCAGAUCUCAAAUCAAUCUUCGAAAACACUUUAGCACCCUGAAUGUGUUCAAACAGGGCAUUAAUCCUCGGCAAUGGAUAUUCAUUUUUGAUGGUGACCUUGUUAUACUAUUGAUAAUCUAUACACAUCCUCAUCGAUCCAUCUUUCUUCUUAAAAAACAACACCGGUGCACCCUAGGGUGGGAAAAUGGGUCUAAUAAAGCCCUUGUCGAGCAAAUCUUGCAGUUACUCCUUCAAUUCUUUCAACUCUAGUAGAUCCAUGCGAUAUGGAGGAAUAGAAAUAAGCUGAGUUCCCGGAUCCAAAUCAAUGCAAAAGUCAAUAUCCUUGUUGGGUGGCAUCCCCGGCAGAUCUACAAGGAAAACCUCUAGAAACUCCCAAACUACUGGCACAGAAUCCUAGAAGGAACCUCAGCACUAGAACUACGAACAAAUGCCAAGUGAGCCAAACACCCCUUCUCGACCAUACGCCGAGCCUUUGUAUAAGAGAUAACCCUACUGAUAAAAUGAAUAUGAGUCCCUCUCCACUCUAAGCGAGGCAUACCCGACAUGGCUAAGGUCACAGUCUUGUCAUGACAGUCCAAAAUAGCGUGAUAAGGUUACAACUAAUCCAUCUCAAAAAUAACAUCUAAAUAAACCAUAUCAAAGGGUAUAAGGUCUACACGGGUAUCAAGACCCCAAUAACCAUCACACAUGAACGAUAGACACGAUCUACCACAAUAGAAUCACCUACUAGCAUAGACACAUAUACAAGAUCACUCAAAUAAUCAUGAAGCACAACCAAACAUGAAGCAAAAGUGAGAAGACACAUAGGAGUAUGUAUACCCUGGAUCAAACAGAACUGAAGUAUCUCUACUACAAACUAAAACAGUACCGGUGACAACAGUAUCAGAGGACUCAGCCUCAAGCCUGGGUGGAAAAGAAUAACAUCAGGGCUGGGCCCCACCACCCAGAACUAUACGUCUAGGAAGGCCUCCACCUCUAACGAGCUUACCCCUACCUCUGGCUCCUUGACUCCUACCUCUGGCUGGCUAGCAGGCGAUGCCUAGAUCAUGGCACGAGAACUCUGCUGCUGCGAUUGGGCACACACUAACCUUAGACAAGCCCUCCUGAUGUGACCAUACUCACCACACUCAAAACAUCCAUCUAAAUACUGUAGUUGAAUAAAAUGAGACUAACCCUGACGAGUUGGCUGACCGUGAUGAAAACUCUAAAGAGGAUGUGCUCGGAUAGGAGCUGGCGGUACAUUAUAGGUUGGCUGCCCUGAAAGAGGUACAUAGGGAUCACGACUCCCUGAAUUUCAGUGAGGUUCCUGGAGUGUUGAAUGAAACGGCGAGGGAUGAUAGCCUCUACCAAUAAUACCUCGACCUCCAGAUUAUGUCCCAAUGAAUCCACCAAAAUGAUGUGGUCUCUUGUCAAACCCCUGACCACCACACUAAGCUAGAACAAUCUCGACUCAUCGGGCCACAAUGACCACAUCUUGGAAGGAAAUCUCGCUCCCUUUCUCCUUGGCCAUCUGCAAUCUGAUAGGAUAGGAAAGUCCCUCAAUAAACCUCUUUACCCUCUCUUUCUCUCGGUGGGGAGUAUAAGAAGAGCAUGACAGGCCAGGUCAAAAAAUUUGGUCUUAUACUGAGUGACGGUCAUGGAACCCUACUGGAGGUACUCAAACUGCCUCUGAUAGUCCUCUCUCUAAUUGACCGGGAGAAACUAUAGCUGAGAAAACUAAUCCCAAGUCAGUGCAUGCGACCCGGCUGGCCGAGCCAAACAAAAUCCGCUCCACCAUUUCUUGGAGGAACCUGAUAAGCGAAAAGCAGCAAAGUCAACCCUAUUGGUCUCCUCUCAUGACAAAUAUCCAAAUGGUCUUGGGGGUCCUCUGAAGAUGUACGACCAUAAGUAGUAGUGAAAAGCUCGGUGAACCUGUCCAACCUCCACAAGGCAUUAGAGGACAUAGCUGAUCCAUCACUGGUUUGUGCUAUAACACCCGGUGAAACUACCCACCUGGCUGAGCUGCUGGAGUCUGAAACUGGGGUGCCAUCUACUCCGGAGUGUGAGUAGCAAGAGUUUAUACUCCUCCCCCACCCGAGAGAUGACUGGUCCUACAAGAAGUAUGCCUUCCUGAGUGAUACACUCCAUAAGGCCCACUAGACGGACCGGAGGAUCCUGGAGUACCGGGGUAGCUAUGACCUUAUCGAAUCUGACCUGGUCCUGCUGGAAUGGUGUGGGCCAGAACCUCAUCAUCAAACUCAACCUGAGGCUUCGCCACUGGUGAUACUGCUCUGGGUUCUGCCCUGCCCCUGCCUCAGCCCUUAGCACGACAUCAGCCUCAUCUUCUGUCCCUCCUAGGAGCUGCCACUAAGGGCUCGGGCUACUGAUCGACUGAUGAAGCAGUACGCGUUCUCUCCACCUGCGAAAGAAUAGAUUAAAGAAUUCUAUUAGCUUUGAGAGAUUAAACCGCACGAUAAAGAUGAAUAAAAGUGAAAAUGUUCCUAACUCUGUAGCCUCUUGGGAGAUAAGCACAGACGUCUCUAUACUGAUCCUCAGACUUUACUAAGUUUGUCCGUGAAUUAUGAGACCUAAGAAACUAAGUGCUCUGGUACCAACUUGUCAUGACCCAAAUUUUCCACCGCCAGGACCGUGAUGGCACCUAAUAUUGUAAACCCUAGGCAAGCUAACGUUACCAACUAUUUCAUCCUUUUCUUUUAUCUUUUAACACUUUACACAUAGGUAAAUGAGCGGAAUAAAAUGGAAUAACAGAAUUUAAUAAGUUAUCUUAAUACAACUACGUAACUAUAAUAAAACUCCACCCAGAAUUGUUGUGACAAUUUCACGAACUGUCUACGAAUACUAUAAAUUAUAGUCUAAACAAUGAAAUACACAUCUAUCUCGGAAAAGAUAAAACAUAAAAGAAAACAGGAUUGAAGGGGACGCCAAAGCCUACGGAUGCUUGCAGGACUACUUCGAGUCUCCACUAGACUGGAGGCAGCAACCUCGAACUACGGUCAUCCACUAACUGAGUAAUCUGCACAAGAAGUGCAGAGUAUAGUAUCAGUACAAUCGAACUCAUGUAUUGGUAAGUGCCGAGCCUAAUCUCGACGAAGUAGUUACGAGGCUACAGCGGGGCAUAACAAUAUAAAUGCAUAACCUACAAUACUUUUUAAUAAGAGAACGGAGGUAUAGAAAGAAAAAUAACUUAAACUUGUAUUAAAAAAAGAUAUGACUCAGUCGUUCUACAAGUAUCAACUUAUAACCAAUCCUUAGGGAGUUUUUCAAUAUCUCAAUAAUAGACUUUCAAUAGAAAUAAAGGCCAAGAAACAUAACCGAUACAGCUUGCAUCACGAUCCCACCAUAGAAACAAUAAGUGUUAAUAAUCCAACAACAACAAUAUCAAUAUUAUACCUUAUUCCUCCUUGAGGUGCGCGACCUGAUCCCACAUCUCUUCCCUUAUUACUCCUUAACACAUAUCACCCUUAUUCCUCCUGUUAUGGUGUGCAACCCGAUCCCACCUAUCCACCUUUAUCACUCCUUGUUACGGCAUGCAACCCGAUCCCACCAGAAAAUCACUUUCUUCCCUUAUUCCUCCUCUUCUUGUAUGCAACCCGAUCCUAACAUACACACACACACACACACACACACACACACACACACACACACACACAUAUAUAUAUAUAUAUAUGUGNNNNNNNNNNNNNNNNNNNNNNNNNNNNNNNNNNNNNNNNNNNNNNNNNNNNNNNNNNNNNNNNNNNNNNNNNNNNNNNNNNNNNNNNNNNNNNNNNNNNNNNNNNNNNNNNNNNNNNNNNNNNNNNNNNNNNNNNNNNNNNNNNNNNNNNNNNNNNNNNNNNNNNNNNNNNNNNNNNNNNNNNNNNNNNNNNNNNNNNNNNNNNNNNNNNNNNNNNNNNNNNNNNNNNNNNNNNNNNNNNNNNNNNNNNNNNNNNNNNNNNNNNNNNNNNNNNNNNNNNNNNNNNNNNNNNNNNNNNNNNNNNNNNNNNNNNNNNNNNNNNNNNNNNNNNNNNNNNNNNNNNNNNNNNNNNNNNNNNNNNNNNNNNNNNNNNNNNNNNNNNNNNNNNNNNNNNNNNNNNNNNNNNNNNNNNNNNNNNNNNNNNNNNNNNNNNNNNNNNNNNNNNNNNNNNNNNNNNNNNNNNNNNNNNNNNNNNNNNNNNNNNNNNNNNNNNNNNNNNNNNNNNNNNNNNNNNNNNNNNNNNNNNNNNNNNNNNNNNNNNNNNNNNNNNNNNNNNNNNNNNNNNNNNNNNNNNNNNNNNNNNNNNNNNNNNNNNNNNNNNNNNNNNNNNNNNNNNNNNNNUAUAUAUAUAUAUUAUAUCAACACCAAUUACCAAGAGUAAAUACAAAGUAUUUCACAAGUUAACUUAAUUUUCACAUUUUCUAUACUUCAACCCACAUAAUGGGAUCUCACUACGAUUAUGAAACUUCACCCAUCAAAGCUAGUCAGCAAGACCAACCAAGGUGCACCAUAAGGCACCAAUAACUCAAUAUAAGCCAACAGUGUAAUUAAGUGAAACCAUGAAACAAUUAGAUACUUCAAAUAAGAGGGCAAUAGUUAAUAUGAAGUAAUUAGGCAUAAAGACAUUUAUGGGAAAAUAGAAAUUAAGGCAUGGGAACAGUUUAUGUAGGUAGCAAUUAAGACAAGAAAUGGUUUAAUUGGAAGCGAGUGAGAUAACGAACUAAAAAUGGAAAUUUCCUGGCGCAUAGGUACUCGUCACUACACCUAUACACAACGCACAUGAGAAUUCACAUAGCACAUAAGCCGGGGAUUCCUAUUCCCUCAAGUUAAGGUUAAACAAAACACAUACCUCAAGUCAAGGCAUAAUUCAACACUCAACCACCGCUUUACCACUCGAUUCCACCACCAAUUCACUUGUAUCUAACCAUAAUUAAUUCAAUAACAUCAAUAAAUGCUAAAUAACCCAAUUCUAAUGCAUGACUAUGAAUUUUCCAAUGUUUUCCCAUAAAGUCAAAAACCGACCCUAGGCCCGCUUGGUCAAAACUCGAAGUUCAAACCCAAACCCGAUUACCCAUUCACCGAUAAACGCAAUUAUGCAAGUGGUUUUGAAAUUCGACCUCAAUUUGAGGUCCAAAUCUUCAAAAUUUGAGAACCUAAUUUCUACCUAAGAACACCAAAUUUCCCUUGAAAAAUCCUAAAUUUUGUAUUGAAAUCAUGUAAAAAGAUGAAUUAGAUUGAAGAAGUUGAGUUAGAAAUCCGUUACCAAUUAUUUGAAGAAGUUUCAGCCUUUGAAAAAUCGCCUAAGGAUGUUUAGGGUAUGAGAGAAGUGAAAAUUGAUGAAAAAAUCCCAUCAAAAAUCUCACUUAAUAGGUAAUUUUCAUAAUUCUGAUCAAGUGUUCGCAAUUGCGAACCCUUGAAAUUUCUGCUACUUUCACAUUUGCGACGAAUAUGUCGCAUUUGCCACAACUCUGACCUUUGAAUUUCCGGUCAGAUUGUCGCAUUUUUUAGGAUGGCAUGCCUGGAUUGGUUCACAUUUGCGACAUUACUGUCGUAUUUACAGGCUAGCUCACUUUUCCAUUACGAAGCCUAAUCUCGCAAUUGGGAGAUCAGAGGCCUGUCAAAAAUACAAGAUGUAUCAGCUGAGUUUUCCUAAGUCCUAAUCACUUUGUGGCCUAUCCAAAACUCACCUGAAGCCUCGGGGUUCCAAACAACACAUGCACGCAACUCUAAUAAUAUCAUACGGACUUGCUCGUAUAACUAAAGCAUCAAAAUAAUAUCAACAACUACGAAUUUAGCAUCAAAAUUCAUGAAAUUCUUAAGAACAUUAAAAUUUCCAUUUUCUUUAUUAAGGGUCCGAUUUGUACAAAAUCAAAUCCGAUUCUUUCCAAAUUUUAUAAAUUUAACUUAAUUAUUAUUUUAAAUCUGUACUGGGCUCCAGAACAAAAUUGCGUGCCUGAUACCAUCAAUAUUGACACUAUUUCAUUUCUAAAAAUGCUUAUAUUUACACCAAAUAACUCUUUUUAAAAUUCAUUACUCGGGCUAGUGACCUCAGAAUUCGAUUGCGAGCAUAUGCCCACGUCCUGUAUUUUACUACGGGCCCUACGAGACCACUGGAAUACGGGUCAGGGUUUGUUUUUCCAAAAUGUUGGCUAACGUCAACUAAAUUCAUAAUUUUAAGCAAAAAUCAUUAUUUCUUAAAAAAAUUCACACAAAAUCUUUCUGGUAUCACGCACGGACUACCCAUGCAAAUUGAGGAGAGAUACGAGUAGGUUUUCAAGACCUUACGACACAAAAAUGGGCUCUAAAAUAAAAGAUGACAUUUUGGGUCAUCACAAUAGCUCAACCCAUCCAAAGUAAUUAUCAAAUUAUACUUUUUUUAUGGUCAUAUAUAACAUAUCAAUCAAUUUUUAAAAAAAAUAAUUUAUCAAAGUUUACUCAUAAAUCAAUAUGCGCUAAAAUUCACUAAACAUUAGAUAGGUUGAGUUGCGCUGAGUCAAAAGGAAAUGAUUUCAACGAAUGGGCGGGUCAAUGAACCAAUCCAACCACAGAGAGUUGGGCGGGUCAAAUGAGUUUAGAUUCAUACUGCCACCCCUAUUUGUAAAUUUCCUCUUACUCUAAUCAAGGAACCACAUGGUAUUAGUAGUGUUUUUAUGGGUCAGAAUCAGAUUUGUAAAAAGAAGUAAAUUUUUCUUUGCAGUGGCAUUUUUUUGCACCCCCUGAGAGAAGAGAAUAGCUCUCAAUCUAUUUAUCAUUUUUGAUACAAAUGUAUCUCUCAAUCUAUUUGCAUUUUUACUGCAACUUUGUUUAGGUAAAUUCCAAUUUGUGCAAACUGGAAUUGGUCUAAUUUGUGAUCGACUAUUCACUACACUGUCCGUAUUAUGUUUUCCAAAUUUGUUGUCACAGUAAAUGGCAAACCAAUGGACAGUGAACGAAUUGUAUAAUUAACUAGAGUGCCAUGUUAAAGAGGAUAUAUAGUCAGUAGAGUGCAAACAUAUCACACAAUAAUAGGGCAUUUACCAUUUUUUAAGCAAAUUUUUGUGUUAUCAUACCAACAAUUGAAACGUUGAUCUAUGAAAAUCUGAAAUGAAAUAAUCUGUAAGAGGUUAAGCUUCAGGUUGUCGUCCCGCUCUAAUACUAUGUGAAAUUUUAAGGAUAAUCAGAGAGAAAGGGGUGAGCUCAAUGUGAGCUCUAAUGGCGGAUUGGAUCGCACGAGAGAGAGAGAGAGAGAGAGAGAAAUGACGCUACUAGAAAUAAAGGAGCCCAUUUCAUUAUUACAACUUAGUAAAGAAAAUACAAAAUUAAUGUCCUAUUUAUAGGAGCUAACUAACUAUCUAAUAACCAGUACAAGUAUGAAAGAAUGAAAGAAUAAAUACAGUGCAUUACAGAUCAAUCAAUAAUCUCAACACCCUCCCCCUCCUCCUCCCUCCCUCAAGUUGGAGGGGAGGACCUCACAUCCAACUUGCUGAGAAGUGCAAUAUGCUUGAACCCUGUUAAAGACUUGGUCAAUAUGUCAGCUAACUGGUUACUAGUAGAAACAAGAUGAAGAGUAAUCAGCCCUUCCUGUAGUUGAUCUCUCACAAAAUGACAAUCCACUUUGAUAUGUUUCAUUCAUUCAUGGAACAUAGAGUUUCUUGCUAUGUGUAAAGCAGCUUGGCUAUCACAGAAUAUGGGGAUAGGCAAGGCCAAUGGAAAAAUAAGUUUAUUGAGAAUCUUGCCAACCAUACAAGUUCACCAACCACCAUUCUAACUGAUCUAUAUUCAGCUUCUGCAAAGGAUAGUGAAAUAGUAGAAUGCUUCUAAGAUUUCCAACUAAUAGGAUAGGUACCAAGCAGCACAAACUACCCACUAACUGAUUUUUUGGAUUGAGAGCAAGUAGCCCAGUCUGAAGCAUAUAAUGCAUUUAUUCCAUAGUCUGCAUUGUUGUUGAGCAAGAUGCCAAAGGAUUGAUCACCUUUUAAGUAUCUUAGGACAUGGUAUGCUGCCUCCAAAUGGGGCUACCUGAGACUUUGCAUGAAUUUACUGAUAUGUUGUAUGCUAUAGGCAAUGUCCAAAUUAGUGUUUAUGAGAAAAUAGUGUUUGCCAAUCAACUUCCUAUAAUAAGAAGGGGUCAACCAGUGGAUCUCCCUCAUCAACUUUUCAUUUGAUAGAGGGGUCCAUAGGAGAAGUCAUAGAAGGACAAUCUGUAUAUCCAAACUCUCAUAAAAGAUCAAUAGUGAAUUUACUUUGUGACAUUAAAACCCCUUACUCUGUGUAUUGAACUUCCGGUCCUAGGAAGUAGUGAUGUCUCCCUAGGUCUUUUAUCUUAAAAGUACUGUGUAGAAACGUUUUCAGAGACUCAAUCUCUUGUAGAUAGGUGCCAGUAACAAGAACAUCAUCUACAUACACAACUACAGACACUACUGAGCCUUCACUCUUCUUAUAGAACAAAGAAUAAUCAAGCAUUGAAUGAGUGUACGCCUAGAACAAAAAGCUUCAGCUAAUUUCUCAUAAAAUUGUUUACUUUCUUGUUUGAGUCCAUAUAGGGAUUUGUUCAAGUUGCACACUAAACCUGGUGAGUCCACAACAAGGCCUGGUGGUAUCUCCAUAUAUACCUCUUCAUGGAGAUCCCCAUGAAGAAAUGCAUCAUUUGCAUCUAGAUGUAAGACAUGCCAUCCCUUUUUGACUUCUAUUGCUAUUAGAGCCCUAACAUUUAUCAUUUUCACUACAGGUGAGAAUGUUUUUGUGUAAUCUAUCACAACUUGUUGUGUAUACCCCUUAACUAUUAAUCUAGCUUUAAAUCUCUCAAUACUACCAUAUGCCUUAUGUUUGGUCUUAUAUACCCAUUUACACCCUAUUGCUUUCUUUCAAAUUGGAACAGGAACUAGGUCCCAAGUCUUAUUUGCAUACAAUGCUUGGAACUCUGAUUCAUUGCUGCUUGCGAGGUAGGCUGUACAAUAGCUUCCUAAUAUGAGUUAGGUUCACAUUCAUGUGGACCAGUUCCUAUCAAAUGCUGACAGGUGGAAUGUGUUUCACUAGGUGAGCUAUCAAGAGGUUUAGGGGAAUAUGUAUUGAAAGAAAAAGACUGUGUACUCUGGCUAUCAUUUGGAGAGGUUUGUUGGUUUUGAUGAGUUUUCUAAUUUCUAGAAGUGUACACUCAUAAUCUUUAAGAUAGGUAGGAAUUUUCAAAGUUCUAGAGGGUAUGUUCUGAUUUGAGUUUAUAGUUCCUUGAUCCUGGGUUAUAGUAAUUGGACUGUGAAGUGCAUCAUGAUGGACUCCUCCUGGACUGUUAGCAACAGGAAAGCUUCCUGACGUCUGGCUUCUUAAGGUAAUUGAGAAGGUCUAGAGUCAUCAUUAUGAGGAUUAGACGGGGGUGAGCAGGGCUCGGGCCUGGAUAGGUUCCCAGGUGACACUUCAUCGUGACUAUUAUCACUUACUAAAUAUGGAACACUACCUAUGACUGGAAGGAAACAAGUCAUCUGACAAGUAUGAUUUGAUUUGAGGAAAUGAGGAAAAAUCUUUACUUGACUUAGUGAACAUGGAAAAUAGAAAUACAUUCUCAUGGAAUACUACAUCCCUGAAAUACUUAUCUUCUUAGUGGCCAGAUUUAGUUCCUUAUAGACUUUUGUCCCAAAGGUAUAUCCCACAAAAACACGGGGAGUAGUUCUUAGCUCAAACUUAACUUUGUGUGUUUUGAGAGUGAUAGCAAAGCAUAAACAACCAACACUUAUGAGGUGAGAGUAGCUUGGUUUUUUCUGCUACAAGAGUUCAAAGGGACAUUUGAUUUUUGAGUGAUGAAGAGGGCAGUUUGUGUAUUAGAUAGGUAGAGGUCAUAAUGCACUCUUCCCAAACUGCACGGUUAAUCUUGAUUUAUAUAGUAGAGCCAUGGAUGUUUCUAACAAAUAUUUGUGUUUUCUUUCCACCACACCAUUUUGUUGUGGUGUAUAUGGGCAUGUUCUUUGAUGAAUAAUGCUCUUUGAUUGAAAGAAUGAAGUGGCCUCAAGACUGGUGAACUCAAGGCCAUUGUUAUUUCUUAUAGUUAUGAUGUUGGUAUUGAAUUGUUGCUCUACCAUACCAAAGAAAGCCUUAAUGGUGUGUAGAGCAUUGCUUUUACUGCUUAAUAAAUGGUUCUAUGUGGACCUGUUGUAAUCAUCUACAAGGGUAAUAAAGUAUUUAUAGUUUUUGUGUGUUGCAACAUGGUAUGGGCCCCACAAGUCAAAGUACAAAGGAUUUGGUAGUUUUUGUUCUUUAUAGGAAAGACGGAUUGAUUUGUCUUGCUAUUUGACAGAUAGGGCAAAGAAAAGUUUGUUUGGGUACAAAGGCAACAAGUAUAGAGGAAAUCCCUUUUAUUUUGACAAAAGGUACAUGUCCUAAUCUGUUAUGCCAUAAACGAUCAAGUUAAAGUUCCGUAGUAUAGGAACUACUAGAUAAAGAAAACUCACUUUUAUUGCUUGAACUAUUUACAUAGUGAUCUGAAUGUGGAAGUGAGCUACUUCUAUUACUACUAUAAGACGGGGUAACCAUGGUGGAAGCGACAGGAACACUAGAAACCAGUUUACUCCUGUUAACUAGUUGAGAAGAAGAAGGUGAGCUAGAUGUUCUAACUAUUGAAUGUAUCUAGUCCUCAUUAUUAGUAAAACAUGGAAUGGAUGCACUUAAAGAAUUAGAGAGGGUUGAACCAUUGUUACAGUUGCUUGAACAGUUAGGUACAGACUAGUCGUGGCUUUACCAAUCUCCAGUGUCCUCUUCAAUCAAAAUGAGUAGAGCAUGCUGAAAUACCUGCAAAGUUUACAGCUCCUCCAUUGAUGGCAUUGCUUGUGGAUUUAUCUGCUCCUCCCUGAAAGCUUUCCAGGAUGGUGAGCAGUUGACCAUAUUGCUGUUUAUUCAUACUGUGCAUGUGUCAACUUUGUUCCUGCUCCUAAUGACCAUUACCAUCAUCCUUUACUGCAGCAACUUCAUUUGAUGGUCUAAACACAUUUCGAGCAAUUCUUCUUCGUUUAUUGAACCUCGAACUCUAUGGGAAUCCAUGAAGUUUGUAGCAUUUCUCCUUAGUGUGCCCUAGCCUCUUGUAGUAGUCACAGAAUGGACUAGGUGUGUUGUUAAGCUGGUUUCCCUUAUAUCACCUGUAGGUGUUGUUGUUUCCCUGUUGAUUGUAGUUAGUUCUGAAAUUGAUAUUUCCUGAUCCACUCACAUUCAAUGCAGCAGAGUCCAUGGAAAAACUGCUACUCUGCUUAACUUCCCUUUUGUUUCUCCUCUUAAAAAAGAAUAGAGAAGUCUUUAGCUAUUGUUGGAAGAGGGUUCAUCAUCAAUAUACUCCCUCUCACGACAAUAUACACAUCAUUGAGCACCAUCAGGAACUGAAUUAAUCUUUUAUUUUGUUAAGCUUUAUGUAUAUUUUCUCUUGCUCGACAGGUGCAUUUGCGAGCACAUUUGGCAUUAAUAUGAAGGGUGUUAAGUUCUUCCCAAAGUUUCUUCAUUUUUGUAUAAUAUCUAGUGAUGUUCAGGCUUUCUUGGCUCAUAACAUUUAUCUUUUCUUGUAGUUGAUACAACUUGGCGCCAUUAGUUUGAUCAUAUCUAUCUUCUAGUUCCUGCCAAAACUCAUUAGCAUCAUUGACAUAAUGCAAGCUGUAUGCUAGGUCCUUAGACAGAGAGUUUAAGAUCCAUGAAGUUCCAUAUCGUCGCAUCGCUCCCGUUGAUCAAGGUAAGCAGAAUCACAGUCUGACUUCUUACAUUUUCUAGUGAUGAACCCUAAUUUGUUUUUCAUGAAGAGUGCUUUGAGGAUUCCUCUUCUCCAUGAUCUAUAACCGGUUUUGUCCAAAGCUAUCGAAACUAGCAUAGAUCCAGCACUUUCCGAUGGAUGCAUGUAUAGUGGGCUUGUUGAAUCUAGGGUUUUUUCGCCACCGGGACUUCAUCUUUCCCGACCAUGAUUCAAAUUGACUAGGAUGAAAUAGUCAUCGGUGAAGAUGAAUUGCUAGAAACAUUCGGUAAUUGAUCGAUUUCCACACAGGAACCCUAAUUCUCAAAAGAAGCGUAACGAUGAUCAAUUUUUGAUUUUUUGAGUAGAACAACGAAAAAUUGAAAGGAGAUGAAGCUUCAGGUCGUUGUCCCGAUCUGAUACCAUGUGAAAUUUAAGGAUAAUCAGAGAGAAAGAGAUGAGCUCAGUGUGAGCUCUAAUGGCGGAUUGGAUCGCACAAGAGAGAGAGAGCAGAUAGAGAAAUGAAGCUUCCAGAAAGAAAGGAGAUGAUUUCAUUAUUACAACUUAGUAAAGAAAAUACAAAAUUAAUGUCCUAUUUAUUGGAACUAACUAACUACCUAAUAACCAAUACAAGCAUGAAUUCAAGUAUGAAAGAAUGAAAGAGUAAAUGCAGUGCGUUACAGAUCAAUUAAUAAUCUCAACAGUAGAAGGGUAAAAUCGGGGUAAUAAACACUCGAUUUCUCGCUGUGGAGAACGAGGCAAAGGUAUAACUAAAAGGAAUCGAAGUCGAAGAAGGGAGCCUUCACUAUCAAUGUUAGAACUCGGAGUCAUCGAGACCAUGCCCCUGGACCCGGUCCAAAAUUCAAGACCUCGGGAAACAUUGCCAAACGACCAUACAUGAUUAACAAAGGACUGUGAUGUCCCCUCCCAACCGGAUAUCACGACGUAAAUCUUGCCUCGUAUCGGCGGUAGAUCAUUUAUUAGCGAAAUAAAAGAUUUUACCUUUUUUAGAAUUGUACUUAGGUCAACGCUAAAAAGGUAGAGGAGGUGGAAGGGGCGAUACGUAAGAUGUGCUGGGGCAGAGCGACGGGGCCAGACGAAAUCCCGGUGGAAUUUUAAAACUGUGUGGGGCGGGCAGGUUUGGAGGGGCUCACUAGGCUAUUUAAUGUUAUUUUUAAGACAAAGAAGAUGCCCAAAGAAUGGAGGUGGAGUAUGAUGGUUCCGCUUUACAAGAACAAGGGUGAUAUCUAAAAUUGAAACAAUUAUAGUGUUAUCAAGUUGUUGAGUCACACUAUGAAGGUUUGGGAGAGGGUGGUACAGGCUAGGGUGAGGAGGUGCAUGUCUAUUUCCGAGAAUCAAUUUGGAUUCAUGACGGGGCGUUCGACUACGGACGCGAUUCAUCUGGUAAGGAGAUUAGAAGAGCAAUAUAGGGAGAGGAAGAAGGAUUUGCAUGGGGUGUUUAUUGACCUUGAGAAAGCAUAAGAUAAAGUACCGAGGGAGAUCAUAUGGAGGUAUUUGGAGGUUAGUAGCGUUCCGGUAGCGUAUAUUAGGGCGAUUAAGGAUAUGUAUGAUGAUUCUAAGACUCGGGUAAGGACUGUGGGGGGUGACUCGCAGCAUUUCCCUAUGGUGAUGGGGUUGCACCAGGGAUCAGCUCUUAGCCCAUUUUUAUUUUCCUUGGAGAUGGAUGUACUGUGGUGUCACAUCCAAGGGGAGGUGCCUUGGUACAUGUUGUUUGCCGAUGAUAUAGUGUUGAUUGAUGAGACGUGUAGUGGAGUUAACGCGAUGUUGGAGUUAUGGAGACAGACCUUGGAGUCUAAAGGUUUUAAACUGAAUAGAACCAAGACAGAGUACUUGGAGUGCAAAUUCAGUGAUGGAACCCAUGUUGUAGAUGUAGAGGUUAAGCUUGAUGCUCAAGUUAUCCCCAAGAAAGCGAGUUUAAGUAUAUCGGGUCUAUUAUCCAGGGUAAUGGGGAGAUUGACGAUGAUGUCUCACAUCGUAUCAGAGCGGGAUAGAUGAAAUGGAGGCUCGCUUCCGGUGUGUUGUGUGAUAAGAAUGUGCCCCUAAGACUUAAGGGUAAGUUUUAUCGAGCGGUGGUUUGACCGGCUAUGCUGUAUGGGGCUGAGUGUUGGCUAGUCAAGAACUCCCACCUGCAGAAGAUGAGAGUAGCAGAGAUGAGGAUGUUCAGAUGGAUGUGUGGGUGUACAAGGAGAGAUAGGAUUAAGAAUGAAGCUAUCCGGGACAGAGUGGGCGUAGCCUCAGUGAAGGACAAGAUGCGGGAGUCGAGGAUGAUAUGGUUCGGACAUACUACAAGAAGAAGCAUUGAUACUCCUGUCAGAAUGUGUGAGAGAUUGGCUAUGGAGAGCUUCAGAAGAGGUCGAAAUAGGCCUAUGAAGUACUGGGGAGAGGUGAUUAGACACGACAUGGCGCUGCUUCAGCUCACUGAGGACAUGGCCCAUGAUAGGAGGGUGUGGAGGUCGAGGAUUAAGGUAUAUGGCUAGUAGUAGUUUAUAAAUCUUCACCGAUAGUCUUAGUAGCAUGUGUAUCCCUUAGUAUUCUUAUAUUUCUAUUACAUUAUGUGGUUGUAUUUGCCUUAGGUAUUGUAUUCCAUGCUGCUGUUAUUUGGUACCACUUAUCCUUUAUCCCCCCCCCCCACCCUUUUCUCUUCCUUCCUUACUUUUUACUUUUUCUUCUUGUCCUUCCUGAGCUGAGGGUCUAUUGGAAAUAGCCUCUCUACCUACAUUAGGUAGGGGUAAGGUCUGCGUAUAGACUACCCUCUCCUGACCCCACCUGUUGGGAUCAAACUUGUUUUGUUGUUGUUGUUGUUGUUGCAAAUUCCCGUAAUAUAUAUAUAUAUAUAUAUAUAUAUAUAUAUAUAUAUAUUUUUUCCCAAAAGUGNNNNNNNNNNNNNNNNNNNNNNNNNNNNNNNNNNNNNNNNNNNNNNNNNNNNNNNNNNNNNNNNNNNNNNNNNNNNNNNNNNNNNNNNNNNNNNNNNNNNNNNNNNNNNNNNNNNNNNNNNNNNNNNNNNNNNNNNNNNNNNNNNNNNNNNNNNNNNNNNNNNNNNNNNNNNNNNNNNNNNNNNNNNNNNNNNNNNNNNNNNNNNNNNNNNNNNNNNNNNNNNNNNNNNNNNNNNNNNNNNNNNNNNNNNNNNNNNNNNNNNNNNNNNNNNNNNNNNNNNNNNNNNNNNNNNNNNNNNNNNNNNNNNNNNNNNNNNNNNNNNNNNNNNNNNNNNNNNNNNNNNNNNNNNNNNNNNNNNNNNNNNNNNNNNNNNNNNNNNNNNNNNNNNNNNNNNNNNNNNNNNNNNNNNNNNNNNNNNNNNNNNNNNNNNNNNNNNNNNNNNNNNNNNNNNNNNNNNNNNNNNNNNNNNNNNNNNNNNNNNNNNNNNNNNUAUAUAUAUAUAUAUAUAUGUAACACGCAUCCUAAGGCAAUAUACAUUUGUUUUCUCUGUUUUUACAAGAUAUUCAAAGUUGUUGAUUCUGUUGAUAAGUUCUCACAAGUGUUGGCUCGAAACCGAAAGUAGGCUUCUAACUAAUCUUUCAACUGAGCCCGGACUCACUAUCCUCACUAAUUUGAUAAUUUGUUAUGUUUUUUAUUUGCUUAUCUAACGUUAUUAAUUACUUAUAUCGAAUUCACACAUCUUUAAAAUCACGUAUAAAUUCAAUUGUUAUCUAUUUUUACAGGUAAACAAUCGUAUUUUUUUUAAAAGCUGGAGCAAUACAGUUGAUACUAGUACUAUCCAUUUAUGGUACAGGGUACAAUCCUAAUUAAAUUUUGUUCUCCAUGUGAAGUUUGUUACAUAAUUUGACAUUUUAUCAAAGCAAACAAAGGCUCUUGUUUAAGCUUCUGAAGAGGUUUUAUUAAAUCAAGGCUGCGAGCGACCAAACAAUUUAACAUUAAUUUUAUAUUUGUUCUAAGCUCCAAUUGAUUAUCCCAAAAGAAAAAAAAAA